UACGGAGGGUGCAAGCGUUGUUCGGAAUCAUUGGGCGUAAAGCGCGCGUAGGCGGGUUCGCAAGUCGAUUGUGAAAUCCCUGGGCUUAACCCGGGAACUGCAGUCGAUACUACGAAUCUUGAAUGCUUAAGAGGGUGGUGGAAUUCCAGGUGUAGUAGUGAAAUACGUAGAUAUCUGGAGGAACACCGGAGGCGAAGGCGGCCACCUGGUAAGACAUUGACGCUGAAGUGCGAAAGUGCGGGGAUCAAACAGG
This 253-nucleotide ribosomal RNA is filed under the name uncultured bacterium. RNAcentral describes it as "partial 16S ribosomal RNA". It matches the Rfam family "Bacterial small subunit ribosomal RNA", at positions 524 to 776 of the family's 1533-position model. The record is from RNAcentral.